UGGGGAAUUUUGCACAAUGGGGGAAACCCUGAUGCAGCGACGCCGCGUGAUUUAGAAGGCCUUCGGGUUGUAAAAAUCUUUUCUAUGGGAAGAAAAUGACAGUACCAUAGGAAUAAGGACCGGCUAAUUACGUGCCAGCAGCCGCGGUAAUACGUAAGGUCCGAGCGUUGUCCGGAAUCAUUGGGCGUAAAGGGUACGUAGGCGGGUAAGCAAGUUAGAAGUGAAAUCCUAUAGCUCAACUAUAGUAAGCUUUUAAAACUGCUCAUCUUGAGGUAUGGAAGGGAAAGUGGAAUUCCUAGUGUAGCGGUGAAAUGCGCAGAUAUUAGGAGGAAUACCGGUCGCGAAGGCGACUUUCUGGCCAUAACCUGACGCUGAGGUACGAAAGCGUGGGUAGCAAACAGG
Molecule: ribosomal RNA, 402 nt
Filed under: bacterium
Lineage: Bacteria
Description: partial 16S ribosomal RNA
Rfam family: Bacterial small subunit ribosomal RNA
Source: RNAcentral